ACAGCAGUCGCCGCGGUAAUACGAAGGGGGCUAGCGUUGUUCGGAUUUACUGGGCGUAAAGCGCACGUAGGCGGACUUUUAAGUCAGGGGUGAAAUCCCGGGGCUCAACCCCGGAACUGCCUUUGAUACUGGAAGUCUUGAGUAUGGUAGAGGUGAGUGGAAUUCCGAGUGUAGAGGUGAAAUUCGUAGAUAUUCGGAGGAACACCAGUGGCGAAGGCGGCUCACUGGACCAUUACUGACGCUGAGGUGCGAAAGCGUGGGGAGCAAACAGGAUUAGAUACCCCUGUAGUCCCUGUCUCUUAUAC
RNAcentral lists this ribosomal RNA (305 nucleotides) under uncultured bacterium. RNAcentral describes it as "partial 16S ribosomal RNA". It matches the Rfam family "Bacterial small subunit ribosomal RNA", at positions 508 to 807 of the family's 1533-position model. The record is from RNAcentral.